GCACUGGUGGUCUAGUGGUUAGAGUUCCUGUCUUAGAUACAGGAGGUCACAGGUUCUAACCCUGGCUGAGUCGUA
Molecule: non-coding RNA, 75 nt
Organism: Potamilus streckersoni
Lineage: Eukaryota; Metazoa; Mollusca; Bivalvia; Unionida; Unionidae
Source: the annotation of a GenBank genome assembly